RNAcentral lists this long non-coding RNA (4180 nucleotides) under Marmota monax (woodchuck). The record is from RNAcentral. Lineage: Eukaryota; Metazoa; Chordata; Mammalia; Rodentia; Sciuridae.
GGACUCUCAGAAGACGCAUUUGGGGAGUCUCCCCUGUGCCGCAGAGGAAGGUCAGCCAAAAGUGUCAUGUCUGCAGCCUGUCGUCAGUCACAAAAGUUGGCCUGGUAGGAGGGGCUGGAGCUGUGUUUUAACCCUCACCGUGUGUCUCUGUGCCUUUCUUCACUGUUGCCUUCACUGAUAACUAGCUCGUGUGCCGUAGUUGUGAGAGUUGCCAAAAUCAAGAUGGAGUCACUUGUGUCAUUCCUAAUAAAUAAGGCCAGGAAGUCCUGAAGGAAUGGUUCUCAUGUACAGUUGCCUGCCAUCACAAAAGAUUCUACGGGACUAUAAACUUGCAUAAAAGGCCACCAUACCCUUACACACACACACACAAAAAAAAAAUACUUAUUUAAGACAUCUGCUCAUAACUGCCCACCCAAACUUGGACUGGUGUCACCCUUGCUAUUAAUCCCUUGUGGUCCAAGAUCAUUGUUUCAAAAUAUCAUAUAGUUCUCAUCAUUUUGCCUUUUAAUUUUUCCCCUUGUCUCCACCUCCUUGGAUACACUCAUUAUGGGCUAUGACACAUGUAUUCCCAUUAUCCUUGCUCUGCUGUUCCCAAAUAAGUAUAUUAGCCUUUUGAGAAUCUCUCUCUGAUUGUUAUUUAGAUUGACAUGAGGUUGAGCAGGUGGUUGCUGCAAGAAGCAGGAGACACGGAAAGUGAGGUCUGAUGCUUUCCCUCCUCUCAGAAGGAUCAGCUCUUUAGCAAGGACUAGAUUCAAAGGCCACCCCUGGAAUCACCAGAGCUCAAGCCUCACCUCAUUGCAGCCCUUAUCCUGCUCCUCUCCUCUCCUCAAGACUCUCAUCCCACCAUCUUGCACCCAAUGCACGACCAGAUGCUCAGCUCUCUGCGGUCUCAUGUGGUUUGUGGUGCUUUCAUGGGUGCUGCCCCCCCACACACACACACACACUGGCCUCUGCCAAAGCCACAGUCCUCGUAAGCAGGUGCUCUAGCUUUCACCUCAUUUGCAACCCUGCAGGGCUCUCUGUGAAAGCUGGUUGAUGGACUGAUGGAAAGUGGAUUUGGCUAUGGAGUCCACAAAGCCUCUCUGAACACACUAUUUUCUAUAGGGUGUUAAGAAUGAGCCUGGGGUUGUUGAGAGCUGGUUAUCUGGAGGCUUCUUGGUCUCCUCCACUCAACAUUUGCUCCUAAUUGUCCCUGGAGAUGAUGAGGCCCAGGAAUUCCACUCUCUGUUCCUUUUGCAGGUGGCCACUUUAAAAAGUCACUUUCCAGAUUCCUCUCCAGGGUCACACCGACCCGACUGCCUGCUGAACUCUACUGUCUGCCCAGCACUGUGCUCAGACAUGUCCUCAGAAACAUUCUGUGUUAAUUCGGGAGUGAAAGUACACACCAAAGUUAUCUCCCCAUCUCGUCCCUCUUUCUUCUAUUUCUUGGGCAUUUUAUAAGUUCUUAUCACAUGUCCAACUUCCUGAUCUUACUUUCCACAGUCUGAGAACUAAGAUCAACUUCCCAAUGUUCCCUUUCUGGUCCUCUGACAUCUUUCAUAGACUCUCCCAGUUGUCUUUUUAUGAGUUUGAUUGUUAACUGCUAUAGAAACAAAUUAAGAAUAGCAACCACAUGGAAGUUGCAAAAGUUCCUGCUGUGGUUUGAAUAUGGUCUGUCUUCCAAAGGUUCAUAGGCUAGUCUCCAAUAUAAUGGCACUGAAAGAUGGUAUGGCCUCUAAGAAGUAAGGCCUAGUGUGUCAGGAAGAGAGGAUUCGCUUCCACCAGAGUGGGUUGUUAUAAAAAAGCAAGCCUGGUCCUUCACUGAUCUGUUGCUGCUUCUCUCACCAUGUAACCUCUUCCACAGGCACCACUCCCUGCUCUUGCACAGUCUGCCACCAUGUGAUACCUUCUACCAUGCUGUGAUUUAGCCAGAAAACCCUCACCAGCAGCCAAACAAAUGGGUUCUGCUUGAUCCUGGACUUUCAGUCUCCAAAAUUGUGAGCUAAAUGAAACUUUUUUCUUUAUAAAAUGUACCCAGUGUCAGGGAUUUUGUUACAGUAACACAAAAUGGGCCAAGAUAUUCCCAAAUCUUUAUAUGGAUGGGAGCUAAAUUGGUGCAACUUUUCUGAACAUCAGAUUGACAAUAUUGCUUUUAAUAGUUCGUGUACUUUAGUUUUUCCUCUUCUCCAUGGUCCUUUGAGACCUGAAAGGGCUAGGUCCAACAGUGGGCAGAUCCCUCAGGCGGCCUACCCAUAGGAAGUUCUCCCAGUGGGAUUCUGGUUCCUGAGAAGACACCCCUGGGAGCUGAGGGACACUCGAGGCUGCAGCCAGAGCUAAGCGGAUGUGCUUUGAAGUAUGAGGCACUGGUAUUUAAAAGAUUAUGGUAUCUGAAAACAUAGUGUUACAAAAGGGAACUUUUGCAAUGACAUUGAAGAUCAUUCCAUUGAUGUUCCUAGAAAAAAAGAUCUCUAAUUUGACUAAUAAGAACAUGAAAGAGCUUAAGAAUUCUACAAAACAGUUGAACAUUUACAUAAAUAGAACAGUUGGACGAGCUAUGAAAUACCCAGAUAAACUAUGUAGGAAAAUCUUUAGCAGAAAGAAAGCUCAUCUUUAUCCAGAUCUUCCUGAUAGGGAAAAAGAAGAAGGAGGAGGAGGAGGAGGCGGAGGAGGAGGAGAAGGAGGCGGAGGAGGAGGAGGAGGAGGAGGAGGAGGAGGAGGAGGAAAUGUCCCCUGCUGAGACCAGGCAAAUAAAGAAAAUGAACUGGCCUAUGCAGGCCACCUGCCUGAGAGAUUCUGACAUGAUAGUUGAAUAGAGCUGGUUAACUCCAGUGAUUCGGAUUACUCACAGACAGAAAGCCCAUCAUUAAAAUAGAUUGUUCUUUUCCCCUGAGGUUUCUCAGGCUCAUGAAAUGAUGACAAAAACAUUGUUCAGCAGGAAUUUAGGAUUGAAUGUAUGUUUACCUUUGCAGAGAAAAAGAAGUGUCUGUGAACUUGCAGCUCACUUGGUGAGGAUAGCAGAUCUUGGAUUUUGAUGGAUUGACUGCUUGCACUCACCAAUAGUUUACAGGAAGAAAAGUAAUAUAUCUCACUUGGCUGCUGAAUAAACUUAUUAUCUCAUGUAAAAUCCUUCAAAGCAAACUUGAGGAACAUGCAGUAGUUUAAACUGGCUUCAAGCCAUGAUUAAAAAAAAAAAAGUUGGUGGUCAGACUAUCAUCAAAACAAAUGAUAAAUUAUGGACAUAUUUCAGAUUUUAAAAUAACAAGUGGACCGUGGAGAUAGAAAAACCAUUUUACUUUGGUUUCAGGAUAUACUUACAGUACAGCUAAAGAUGUAAAUGUUUAUUUAUUUCAGUCGAAUUGAGCGAUUUCAUCUUUGAAAGAGUUAUUUGUUUACUCAAGACAAGCCAGAACUAUAUGAUUUCCAGGAAAAUGUCAUCCAAGAAUUGUGAACUUUGGAAGAAACUGAAACCACAUUUGUCUUUUAAAAGGCACUUAAUAAACUUACAAAUGAAAUGCUAAACAUUCUAUUUCACAUUAAAAUGAAAAAAUAUCCAAAAGAAGUAGCAUCCAAUUCAAUGAGGUGAACAUACAUGAUGAAGAUCAUUUGAUUCUGCUGCACUCAGGAUUUAUAUGGUUAUUUGAUAACAUUGUUUAAGAACUACUCGGUCUUAGUGCAAUCCUGUAUGUUGCUUAAAAAUAUAACUUGUAUUAUGUGAGAAAAUAAUUCAUAGCAUUACUAGGAACCAAAAAGAUCAAUCAUUAUUAAUUUUUUGAAGAUCAUAUUUUAUUAGAAAAUAGUAAAGCAUGUACAGCUAUUUUUGUUGUAGAAAAGAUUCUGAAAGUUUAGAAUUUCUUAAGAAAUAAUCAAUAUUAAAACAUUUUUGUCCACACUGAUACUGCGUAUGAAAAGUGCCUUAAUUAUUAGUAAGUCAAUUUAUUAAGACACCUGUAUCUAUUUUAAAAAUUAUAAAACAAACCAUGUAUCCAUCAUGAAAAAUAAUAGCAGUAAGUCAGAGAUUUACAAUCAUGUAGAAUGUUGUUGAAACUUAUUCCAUACCACUUUUAGAACUGCAGAAUAUUCUUAUUAUCUCUUUUUUUGCCAGAAUCGUCAUGUCAUGUAUGUAUAUUAUCCCUCUAUAAAAGAAAAAGAUGAAUGAAUAUUUGUAUGAAUACUUAAUAAAAAAUAAAUGUGGAAUUGGCUA